Molecule: ribosomal RNA, 468 nt
Filed under: uncultured bacterium
Lineage: Bacteria
Description: partial 16S ribosomal RNA
Rfam family: Bacterial small subunit ribosomal RNA
Source: RNAcentral
GACGAACGCUGGCGGCGUGCUUAACACAUGCAAGUCGAACGGAAAGGCCCUGCGCUUGUGGCGUUCUCGUGAGGCGAACACGUGAGUAAAACGUGUGGAACCUGUCCUUGUCUUUGGGAUAAAAUCUGGAAACUGGGGCUAUUAUCCCGUAGGAUCUCCUGCUGCAUGUUGGGGGUUAGUGAGAUUCGGCGGUUGUGGCUGGACUCGCUGGUUACCCGCUUCUUUGUGUGGUAGUUGCUUACGAAGCCUUUGACGGCUAGCCGACCUGAGAGGGUGACCGGCCACAUGAGGACUGAGAGACGGCCCAGACUCGUACGGGAGGCAGCAGGGGAGAAUAUUGCACAAUGGGCGGAAGCCAGAUGCAACAACGCCGCGUGCGGGAUGACGGGCUUCGGGUUGAAAACCACUUUGGACUGUGCUAAAGACGGAGUGACGGUAACGGGUAAAGAAGCACCGGCUAACUACGUG